UACGUAGGGGGCAAGCGUUGUCCGGAUUUAUUGGGCGUAAAGAGCGUGUAGGCGGCCAGGUAGGUCAGCUGUGAAAACUCGAGGCUCAACCUCGAGACGUCGGUUGAAACCACCUGGCUAGAGUCCGGAAGAGGAGAGUGGAAUUCCUGGUGUAGCGGUGAAAUGCGCAGAUAUCAGGAGGAACACCGGUGGCGAAGGCGGGUCUCUGGGCAGUAACUGACGCUGAGGAGCGAAAGCGUGGGGAGCGAACAGG
This 253-nucleotide ribosomal RNA is filed under the name uncultured bacterium. RNAcentral's name for it is "partial 16S ribosomal RNA". It matches the Rfam family "Bacterial small subunit ribosomal RNA", at positions 524 to 776 of the family's 1533-position model. The record is from RNAcentral.